Molecule: non-coding RNA, 45 nt
Organism: Schistosoma mansoni
Lineage: Eukaryota; Metazoa; Platyhelminthes; Trematoda; Strigeidida; Schistosomatidae
Source: Rfam
AUCCAACUGACGAGUCCCACAUAAGACGAGACGUACGUCCUGGAU